Sapajus apella (tufted capuchin) is the source of this 858-nucleotide long non-coding RNA. RefSeq lists it as uncharacterized. The transcript has 3 exons. Lineage: Eukaryota; Metazoa; Chordata; Mammalia; Primates; Cebidae. The record is from RefSeq and is a predicted model, not a curated record.
GAGCUGAAAAAUUCUUCUUUUAGAAGAAACUAUGAAUAGUGAAAAGGCCUUGAAAAAUGCAAGAUGCUAUAUGAAUGUAAGGCAAGACUUAUUACUUUUAUUACCUACAUAUCUUGUUCCACAUUAACUCAAAAUCAUUAUGAAGUGUCUCAAAUGAUAACAAUAAUAGCUAAUAUUAUUGAGUAAACUUAAUGUGUCUAAGCAUGGUUGUAAGCAUUUUACAUGUGUUGAUGCAUUUAAUCCUCCCAGCAUCCCUAUAAAGCAGGUACUAUUAUUAUCAUCCCACUUUUACUAAUUAGGAAAGUGAAGCACAGGGAAGUGAAGAAACUUUCCCAGAGUAACAUACCUAAGAAGGUGGCACAUUUGAUGUUCAAAUCCAGUCUGAUGCCACCAGAACCCAUCCUCUGAACAACCACACUACAUUGGGAGAUAUGUACUGGAUUGACAAUCUAGAGAUGAUGAUACUAAGGUAUGGUGUUGGCAUUGAGUAAACAGGAGUGAACAAAACUAACAAAACUCUCUCUCUCAUGGAGUUUACAUUUUGAUAUCAGAAAUCAUGAAAGCAAUGAAGACUAAAGGAACUGACAUUCCAGGAAGGGAAGAACCAAUCCUAGGGUAAGCAAAAAUCACUGACCAUUUUCUUUCCUAUAGGUUUCCUGUGUAAUUCGUUUUGGAAAAUAAUUCUGCAGUUGCAGAUUCAGGGCUGAGAAUUAUACCUGCAUAGGCAAGACAAAUGUCUCCAGGGGACAUUUGCUGAGUGCUGGGGUGAUAUAGGAACCUGGGGAAUUGGUUCACAAAGAUGAAAAAUCUCAUAUGGCCUCAUGGUACUUAGGAGACAAUGAUGUCUACUUUGGAAAG